AGAGUUUGAUCCUGGCUCAGAACGAACGCUGGCGGCAGGCUUAACACAUGCAAGUCGAACGCCCCGGCAAGGGGAGUGGCAGACGGGUGAGUAACACGUGGGAACAUGCCCAAAGGUACGGAACAACUCCGGGAAACUGGAGCUAAUACCGUAUGUGUCCGUAAGGAGAAAGAUUUAUCGCCUUUGGAUUGGCCCGCGUCGGAUUAGCUAGUUGGUGGGGUAAAAGCCUACCAAGGCGACGAUCCGUAGCUGGUUUGAGAGAACGACCAGCCACACUGGGGACUGAGACACGGCCCAGACUCCUACGGGAGGCAGCAGUGGGGAAUCUUGGACAAUGGGCGCAAGCCUGAUCCAGCCAUGCCGCGUGGAUGAUGAAGGCCUUAGGGUUGUAAAAUCCUUUCGCCGAGGACGAUAAUGACGGUACUCGGAGAAGAAGCUCCGGCUAACUUCGUGCCAGCAGCCGCGGUAAUACGAAGGGGGCUAGCGUUGUUCGGAUUUACUGGGCGUAAAGCGCGUGUAGGCGGGUCGUUAAGUUGGGGGUGAAAUCCCGAGGGCUCAACCUCNGAACUGCCUUCAAAACUGGCGACCUGGACUCAAGUANAGGCNAGUGGAAUUGCGAGUGUAGAGGUGAAAUUCGUAGAUAUUCGCAGGAACNCCAGUGGCGAAGGCGACUUGCU
Molecule: ribosomal RNA, 677 nt
Filed under: uncultured bacterium
Lineage: Bacteria
Description: bacterial SSU rRNA
Rfam family: Bacterial small subunit ribosomal RNA
Source: RNAcentral